AGACCUAUCAGUCAUUUUCUGAUUUUAGACCCUUAAGAUCAGCCGCAACAGACUUAGAAAACUCUAGAGAUCAGCAGCUAGAAGAGUGGAGCUAACACAAAAGAGAGCAAUGGCGGAGCUCUCUUGAAAAGGACCCCCCUAUCGACUCAUCUUCUUCUUCAGAGAAGAAGAGCCAAUUUCCAUGGCUUCUUCUUAACCAAACCAAAGACCCCUGUUCUCUUCAAACACACAAGCAGCCAUUCCCCCACGUCUUCAAAUCCCUCUCUCUAUCGUUUUUUUUGUCUCACCUCCAUCGCUGGCGAGAUUCGCCGGAAACCGGCGAAAACUAACCCCAUAACCAGUCAGUUUUCCAUUCGAUUCUCUGAGCUUUAGAACUAUUUUUUACGCAAAGCUUCAGUUUAUUCUCAUAUCGGAACUCAUGGAGACGAACUGCUCGAUUUUGUUUUGAAGUCGAGCGUUCCAGUCCAAAGUCAAAGAAUCGAGUCGAGGUGUCCGUUGUAGCCGAGUUCGAAGUACUUUGGUCGAGGUUCAUUGAGAUUCCAGCGAGGCAUUUCGUUUUUCUGUUCGAGGUUCUCAUUUGCUUGCCGAUUCGAGAAUAGUUGCAGUUGUAGAGGGUUGGCGCGCUAGUUAUCAUAAUCUUGUUGUGGAGCUGCAUUGACGACUUGAGGGGCCUGCGUUUCAUGCCCGUAGAUGCAGGUAGACAGGUUGACGGUCCACCUUCUUAGGAUCCUUGCUCAGCGAGAACUGGUGUGCUCCAUUUGAUCUAGAGCUGCUAUUGAGUUUUGGUACGAUACGUUUGUAUACAUAUGGGUAUGACAGGACCCACUCCCAUUCUUUAUACAGUGUACACUCUAUUAGAGGUCUGUAAAUAGUCAUGUGUAGUUAGAUAGUAUGUGUCCUUCUCGGC
Molecule: long non-coding RNA, 907 nt
Organism: Nicotiana tabacum (common tobacco)
Lineage: Eukaryota; Viridiplantae; Streptophyta; Magnoliopsida; Solanales; Solanaceae
Source: RefSeq, a predicted model, not a curated record